Molecule: ribosomal RNA, 492 nt
Filed under: uncultured bacterium
Lineage: Bacteria
Description: partial 16S ribosomal RNA
Rfam family: Bacterial small subunit ribosomal RNA
Source: RNAcentral
AGUGAACGCUGGCGGUAGGCCUAACACAUGCAAGUCGAACGGCAGCACAGUAAGAGCUUGCUCUUACGGGUGGCGAGUGGCGGACGGGUGAGGAAUACAUCGGAAUCUACUUUUUCGUGGGGGAUGACGUAGGGAAACUUACGCUAAUACCGCAUACGACCUACGGGUGAAAGCAGGGGAUCUUCGGACCUUGCGCGAUUGAAUGAGCCGAUGUCGGAUUAGCUAGUUGGCGGGGUAAAGGCCCACCAAGGCGACGAUGCGUAGCUGGUCUGAGAGGAUGAUCAGCCACACUGGAACUGAGACACGGUCCAGACUCCUACGGGAGGCAGCAGUAGGGAAUAUUCGGCAAUGGGCGGAAGCCUGACGCAGCCACACCGCGUGGGUGAAGAAGGCCUUCGGAUCGUAAAGCCCUUUUAUUGGGAAAGAAAAGCAGCAGAUUAAUACCCCGCUGUUCUGACGGUACCUAAACAGAAAGCACCGGCUAACUUCGUG